This 207-nucleotide ribosomal RNA is filed under the name uncultured bacterium. RNAcentral describes it as "partial 16S ribosomal RNA". It matches the Rfam family "Bacterial small subunit ribosomal RNA", at positions 568 to 774 of the family's 1533-position model. The record is from RNAcentral.
CGUGCAGGCGGUGGUGCGCGUUUUGUGUGACAGCGCGAGGCUUCACUUCGUGAGGAUACGAAAGACGGCAGCACUUGAGAGCGCGAGAGGGACACGGAAUUCCGGGUGGAGUGGUGAAAUGCGUAAAGAUCCGGAGGAACACCGAAGGCGAAGGCAGUGUCCUGGCGCGCAUCUGACGCUGAGGCGCGAAAGCCAGGGGAGCGAACG